Oncorhynchus mykiss (rainbow trout) is the source of this 1665-nucleotide non-coding RNA. Lineage: Eukaryota; Metazoa; Chordata; Actinopteri; Salmoniformes; Salmonidae. The record is from RefSeq and is a predicted model, not a curated record.
UCCUUCACUAAGCAUACAAGUAGUUUCCUUUGGCGUUUACAACAUCUCGAGUCUAAACAGGGAAGGUAAUCACGUAGCUGAGUAGACCGAUACUUUACACGGCUCUUACCUGUUUGGUCAUAUCUAAGGAUCGCAGACUAAUCGCAGUUUAUUCAAUGUAAAUCUAAUAGGGAUGUAUAGGGGAGACCGGGGAUGGUUGUAACACUUGCAAUUACUCCAAGCGGGAGCGAGGUAGAAUCCUACUGUUCACAUGCUGUUUAGUAUUGACGCCUCAUGUGAAAAACAUUCCUGGAUAAUGGAAAAGAAAGACAGACCUCUCCACACUUUGGACAAAGCGUCAAAAGCAGAGUGGGGGGGGGGAGGCCAUUCAGGGCCCAAGAAAAUUGCAACAAGGGGUAGGAAGAGGAGAAAAACUGUGACUUUUGAUGGUGGAAAACUGCUGGAAAGAAGCAAGCCAAGACAAACCACACUGAAACACAUUUAAAAAACUGUCCUGCCUAAGAAAAAAGCCAAAACAAAGCAGAUUGAACCAGAAAAUUCAGAUUCUUCCAAUGAAGAACACUUCUGCAUUUUGUGCACGAGUCCAAGGAGGUCUGGGUGUUGCUGGGAAAUCAAAUUAUGGGCCCACCAAGCCUGUACCCCGGGACAGCCAUACAUACCACUGUCACAACUGUGACUCUUGAUUAAGUGAACAUGUCCAACAUUGUCACACACAGCCACGCACGCAAACACACACGUUCAGGUGUUUAAUUUAGUCUUGCUGUUUGGUUGAGAACCAUUUAGGAGAGUGAAAUAAUACAUAUUAUUUCUGCCAAACAAAAGGUAAACUUGGCAACGUUGCUCUCAUGGUCUCAAAAGCAUUCAAUAAUUAGUUGCAUGUCAUGAUAUGCACUUUUUAAUUCUGUUACAAUUCACCCCAUGGUCUGGUUUAGUUGUAACAUUUCACUCCUUGUAUUUAAGACACCAUGCAUUGGCAGUUUGAUUUACAUAUAUGACCAUACCAAUUUGUAAAGGACAGAUGUUGGUUGUUUGUAUCAAGUUCUGAAUACACUCCCAUAAACAAUCGCUGAGAAACAGGGAAGGGUUACAACCAUCCCUGGUCUCCCUUACCCAUUUCUAUAUAAAUCAGAACUAUGCUAAUCUGGUAUUGGGUCUCUUGGGCAUUGCUGCAUAAACUAAGUAUUCACUAUUUCAUGUAUGCCUGGACUAUGUCACUUGAGGCAAUUAUUUUUAGAUGUGUAAUUUUUCCACAUUGAAGUAAACCCCUUCCACCAUUUCUUUAUUCUGAUUAAAUGGGAUUUGAGUCAACCAAGUUGAAGAGUGCCAUUUCUGCAACAUAUCUCAGUGUGUAGGCUAAAGUCAUAUCUCAGUGUGUAGGCUAAAGUCAUAUCUUAGUGUGUAGGCUAAAGUCACUGACAAAACUAUACCGUGCAUCAUAGCCGCAGGAUGUAGGGGUAUGAGGGUUCUGCAGCAAAUCAUAAAAAUAAAAAAUAAAAAUCACACAAAAAAAAUGCACUGGACCUUUAAGUCCUUUAUUAAACAGACCAAUAGAGCUGUCUGCAACGCAGGCAACAUAGUUCCCACCCCCAAACUACUCCCUUCCAAGAAAAUUGAAAUCGCAGCACCCCCCCCAUCCCACUUCUCGCAGCUAUGCUGUGCAUUCAA